Molecule: ribosomal RNA, 214 nt
Filed under: uncultured bacterium
Lineage: Bacteria
Description: partial 16S ribosomal RNA
Rfam family: Bacterial small subunit ribosomal RNA
Source: RNAcentral
UGAGCAAUCUGCCCUUCUCAUCGGAAUAACCAUUGGAAACGAUGGCUAAUGCCGAAUAUGACCUCGGAUCACAUGUUCUGAGGUGGAAAGCUCCGGCGGAGAAGGAUGAGCUCGCGGCCUAUCAGCUUGUUGGUGAGGUAAUGGCUCACCAAGGCAUUGACGGGUAGCCGGCCUGAGAGGGUGACCGGCCACACUGGGACUGAGACCAGGCCCA